This is a non-coding RNA of Xyrichtys novacula (pearly razorfish), 580 nucleotides long. The record is from the annotation of a GenBank genome assembly. NCBI's taxonomy places the organism in Eukaryota, Metazoa, Chordata, Actinopteri, Labriformes, Labridae.
GAAAACCAGAAAAGUCAAAUAGAGGUAUGUCACUGUUGUCUUAAGUGUUCUGGCUUAUAUAGCUUUUUAACAACAACCCCUAACGCCCCCAACCGAUCCUGAUUUGAUAGGCAGAGAGAAUCAGCGCAUCACUGGGGUUAUCAUAAGGACACCUUUCUUCACCCUCCUUUGUACUAACUCUCAGCACUCACACAUAAUCUCUACACCUGAUGUAUAACACUGAUGACCUUCAUACUGUAUGUGCCAUAAAAGCUAUUAGUAGGAAAAUAGUCAUUCUUAGUGUCUUGCUUCUAACUGGUUGGCGUCUGAAAAGGCCGUUGACCAACAUUGAAAGUUUCUAGUGCGGCUAAAUCAGGUAGCUGACGUUUUCCUUUGUGGUUCUUUAGAAAUCAAGAGGGAUAUAAACUCAUCUAACCCGGAGGAAGCCGUACAGACAGAUGGACAUCCAGUUGGUCAGGAGUUUCUCCACAGUGGACUCGGUGCGUCGUAAAAGCAGUUUGGGCUGGGCGUUACCGUGCUGCUGCAUCAGAUCCCUCAGCAGUACCUCCAUCACUUCUGUCAGGUACAGCAAAUUGUUGUG